CUACGGGGGGCACCAGCCGCGAAAACUUUACAAUGCGCGAAAGUGUGAUAAGGGAAUCCAAAGUGCUCAUGUUUUUACAUGGGCUUUUGCCAAGAGUAAAUAUCUUGGAGAAUAAGUGAUGGGUAAGACUGGUGCCAGCAGCCGCGGUAACACCAGCGUCACGAGUGGGAAUCGUAUUUAUUUGGCCUAAAGCGUCCGUAGCCGGUUUGGUAAAUUCAUUGUGAAAUCAUUGUGCUCAACGCAAUGGCGUGCAGUGAACACUGCCAGGCUUGAGACUGGAAGGAGUCAGAAGUAUUCUUGGGGGAGCGGUAAAAUGCUAUAAUCCCAAGAGGACUACCUGUGGCGAAGGCGUCUGACUAGUACAGUUCUGACGGUGAGGGACGAAAGCUAGGGGAGCGAUCCGGAUUAGAUACCCGGGUAGUC
Molecule: ribosomal RNA, 423 nt
Filed under: uncultured archaeon
Lineage: Archaea
Description: partial 16S ribosomal RNA
Rfam family: Archaeal small subunit ribosomal RNA
Source: RNAcentral